UCGAUAUCAUCAACAACAUCCAAUAAAAAAAGGUCAAUCGACGUCCUACGAUGUCGACACCUCAAUAUACUCUCCAAUAUAUACACCAAUCCUAAUUUCAACUUGUCUAACAUGUGAUCGCAUCUCCAAAAUGCGUCCUCUAACUGUGGUGGUGUAACCAGCCCUUUACCUCCAAAAUAUAAAUCCAAUAACCUUUUAUUUGGUAUAAUACG
Molecule: long non-coding RNA, 212 nt
Filed under: Olea europaea (common olive)
Lineage: Eukaryota; Viridiplantae; Streptophyta; Magnoliopsida; Lamiales; Oleaceae
Description: long non-coding RNA (OEUR_LNC002537)
Source: RNAcentral